This 68-nucleotide transfer RNA is filed under the name Tchangsinaia piscicula. RNAcentral's name for it is "tRNA-His". It matches the Rfam family "tRNA". Rfam says of the family: Transfer RNA (tRNA) molecules are approximately 80 nucleotides in length. Their secondary structure includes four short double-helical elements and three loops (D, anti-codon, and T loops). Further hydrogen bonds mediate the characteristic L-shaped molecular structure. tRNAs have two regions of fundamental functional importance: the anti-codon, which is responsible for specific mRNA codon recognition, and the 3' end, to which the tRNAs corresponding amino acid is attached (by aminoacyl-tRNA synthetases). tRNAs cope with the degeneracy of the genetic code in two manners: having more than one tRNA (with a specific anti-codon) for a particular amino acid; and 'wobble' base-pairing, i.e. permitting non-standard base-pairing at the 3rd anti-codon position. The record is from RNAcentral. Lineage: Eukaryota; Metazoa; Mollusca; Bivalvia; Unionida; Unionidae.
UAAUGAGUAGUUUAAAGUGGUAGAACGAUAGGUUGUGGUCCUAUAGAUAGAGUUAUUGCUCUCAUUAA